This 527-nucleotide small RNA is filed under the name Pan troglodytes (chimpanzee). Its description in RNAcentral is "retained intron". Lineage: Eukaryota; Metazoa; Chordata; Mammalia; Primates; Hominidae. The record is from RNAcentral.
CUCGUGCCGACGUGUCUUGUAAGGUGCGGCUAGAAACUGGGGACAUGGCAGCGCCUGGCCCAGCGCUCUGCCUCUUCGACGUGGAUGGGACCCUCACCGCCCCGCGGCAGAAAAUUACCAAAGAAAUGGAUGACUUCCUACAAAAAUUGAGGCAGAAGAUCAAAAUCGGAGUGGUAGGCGGAUCGGACUUUGAGAAAGUGCAGGAGCAACUGGGAAAUGAUGUACAUUUCUGGAGUUACUGAUGGAGAACUGGGUACUCAGAUGUGUGAGUAGAUUCACCUAGAAAGGUCAGUGGCUGUAUCUGCACAUGGUAAUCUCUCCGCCUGGAAUACUUCUUGCUUGUACCCGUUCACAGCCCUUCUAGCCCCAGUCAGACCGGUCUUCAUAUUGUCCCUCUGACAGCCCCCCUCACCUCCCCAUCACUGAAACAAUCUCCAGCACAGGACCCCGAAAAACCAGAGGCUUAUUGACCCCUUCACUGGAGAGUCUGACUUGAUAGGUCUGUGGAGCCUGGGAAUCCUAUUUUA